UACGAGGGGGCGAGCGUUGUUCGGAAUUAUUGGGCGUAAAGGGUGCGUAGGCGGUUUGGUAAGUCUGAUGUGAAAUCUAUGGGCUCAACUCAUAGUCUGCAUCGGAAACUGCCGGGCUUGAGUGUGGGAGAGGUGAGUGGAAUUCCUGGUGUAGCGGUGAAAUGCGUAGAUAUCAGGAGGAACACCUGUGGCGAAAGCGGCUCACUGGACCAUAACUGACGCUGAUGACACGAAAGCUAGGGGAGCAAACAGG
RNAcentral lists this ribosomal RNA (253 nucleotides) under uncultured bacterium. RNAcentral's name for it is "partial 16S ribosomal RNA". It matches the Rfam family "Bacterial small subunit ribosomal RNA", at positions 524 to 776 of the family's 1533-position model. The record is from RNAcentral.